UUGCUAGGGGCGACUCGUCCUGUUGGUUCUCAGGGGGAGGUGCCGUGGGGACUUAACUGGCUUGGUCUCUUCCAGCGCUAGCGGAGUUCCAAUGGUCCAGAGCGCCUGGGCAUUCCUGACCCUUCCAGGGCCACUGCCCUAGUGGGCGUCCUGCGCCCGAUUGGUGGGCUGGCAUUUACAGAGUACAUCUGGACUGGCUGGAUUACCCUACACUUGGAGAUCCUACUGUUUGCAGAAGUUGAGUUCGCUUUUCCCGGGCCACGCAGCAAAGGAUGGAGCUACUGAAUCAGUGGUUAUAGGUCUAGCGGAGAGGACAAGAGCCAGGCUCCUGCUUCAUAACUGAGACAUCGAGCAUCCAGUCAAUGAACUUUUUUGCCUCUGGCUCUAGGGGGCCACUGGAUAUUGAACCUGGCCCAACCUAAUACCCAUUCGGAUGAAAGAGUGAAGUGACAGGUUGCCCGAAAGGGAUGGGAAGAGGGGUUCAAUGGGAACAUGUAGACGCCGCCCCCAGGGAUCAAUUCCUAAAUGCCGAGCUGAGGACCAAACCCAGGGCCUUGCAAUUGCUAGGCAAGCGCUCUACCACUGAGCUAAAUCCCCAACCCCAAGUUAGUUUCUUAACCAAAUCAUCUGUGUUGGUUAUAGAAGAAGAAUCUGAACCCCGUUCCUACAGCUUUAGAAACAGUCAAGCAGAGAUCUGCAGUGGAAUUCCUCUGAAUCAAGUCUUUGCUCAACACGGUUCAAGUGAAAUGUAGAUUAUGAUAACUGGAAGUGUGCUCAAGAGCUAGAAGACCAAGUGUGGGCAUCCAACCCCACGUUGGGGCCUCGG
Molecule: long non-coding RNA, 826 nt
Organism: Peromyscus eremicus (cactus mouse)
Lineage: Eukaryota; Metazoa; Chordata; Mammalia; Rodentia; Cricetidae
Exons: 3
Source: RefSeq, a predicted model, not a curated record